This 373-nucleotide ribosomal RNA is filed under the name uncultured organism. RNAcentral describes it as "partial 16S ribosomal RNA". It matches the Rfam family "Bacterial small subunit ribosomal RNA", at positions 527 to 896 of the family's 1533-position model. The record is from RNAcentral.
GUAGGUGGCAAGCGUUGUCCGGAAUUAUUGGGCGUAAAGCGCGCGCAGGCGGUUCGUUUAAGUCUGAUGUGAAAGCCCACGGGCUCAACCGUGGAGGGCAUUGGAAACUGGAGAACUUGAGUACAGAAGAGGAAAGCGGAAUUCCACGUGUAGCGGUGAAAUGCGUAGAGAUGUGGAGGAACACCAGUGGCGAAGGCGGCUUUCUGGUCUGUAACUGACGCUGAGGCGCGAAAGCGUGGGGAGCAAACAGGAUUAGAUACCCUGGUAGUCCACGCCGUAAACGAUGAGUGCUAAGUGUUAGGGGGGUUUCCGCCCCUUAGUGCUGCAGCUAACGCAUUAAGCACUCCGCCUGGGGAGUACGGCCGCAAGGCUG